Molecule: long non-coding RNA, 1415 nt
Organism: Heterocephalus glaber (naked mole-rat)
Lineage: Eukaryota; Metazoa; Chordata; Mammalia; Rodentia; Bathyergidae
Source: RefSeq, a predicted model, not a curated record
GGCGGCGCGGGGCGGGGCCGAGGUAGUGGCGGCGACGUGGCCGCGGAGUUCCGGCGUGUGGCAGUGGCUGCGUGAGCGUGAUGGAGUCCGGCUGCGGCGGGCUCCGGGGACUCUUCUGCGCAGGGGACAAGAGGAAGGCGGGGGCGUGCGUACGUCACUUUUAGGUAGCUUCCGCCUUGGCCCUUCGCGCUGCACCCCAGCAACCUGCGGCGGCCCGCGAAACCCCAAACCUCUUCUCCCGUUCUUGGAAGCAGAAAAUAUAGCGCGGAGAGGGGCCAGACACGGAACGUUUGACCACCUGGCGAAUGAGCCUUCCACUCUGCAGUGCAGCCUGUUGGAAUAAAUGCUCAACUUUCUGCCGAAUUACGGUUUUAAGUUUUGAAAACAUGGCGUGGUUUUGAAUGGUUGGGAGACAGUUUUUUCUUUUGAAAUUCAGCCUUUCACAUUGAUUAUUUCCUAACACGCACCAGACGCCAGGACCUACUCUUUCCCGCCGCAGCGAUGCCCUGGGGAAGUCACCCUAGGGGGAAAGGCUCUUGCUUGAAAUGGAGAUGAAAAAUGAACAUAGAUGCUUGCUACCUUACUGCGGGGCAGAAUGACCGAAAAUACUGAUGAAAAAUCUGGGAACAAAACAGUGGAUAUAGUUGACAAAACAGAAAAUCUGUUUCUGGACAGCUUUUGAUUAAUAAAUACAGAGAUAAUUAACGUAGACCACAUUUGCAUAAUGGUGUAACAAAAAUUGUAACAAAAAUAUGUAAAAAAAUUGCAUAAUGGUGAACAAUACAAAGUAUGGGGAAACUGCAGUUUGGAAACUGAAUUAAGAUUCUGAUUUUGGCAAGAUGGCUAAUGAUGAAUGGUUUUAUAGAGGAGAGGGAACUACCUCCCAUGCUUUUCUCUGAUUUUAAAUAUCUGUGAUGGUUGAUUGAUUCUGUCAAGUUGAAUAAGAGAAGCUCAACUAAAUUGACUCAGCAAUUCCACACCCUAAGGUGGGGAAGACCCACCCUAGAGCAGCUUGUCACCUGGAUGAUAUAAAGGGGAAAUGAAGAAGGUUCAAUCUGCUUCUGUUUCUUCUGAGGAGCUCCAGUCUUAGCCUUCACCUUGGAUGUCAUCUGACUUCCAGCACAGAUCCUUCAGCCUUCUGGUAUGGACACCAGCCUUCCAUCACAGGCCCAUUGGCUUUCCAAUAGAGACUUGCAUGGGACUCUGCUGUUAGCUCCAGACCUUCAACUGGAUUCAUUGGUCUCCAUUGUGCAGACAGACCUUCUGCAUUCUUCCACAUCCAACUCUGUGGGUGGCCACUGUAAGACAAUCUUGUAAAUUCUUUUAUACUUAUAUAUCUUGUAAUAUAUGUUUCUCUAGUAAACACUGAUACAAUACCUUUCAUCCUCAUAUUCUAAUAAAAUAAUUAAAACUCA